CAGCAGUGGGGAAUAUUGCACAAUGGGCGCAAGCCUGAUGCAGCCAUGCCGCGUGUAUGAAGAAGGCCUUCGGGUUGUAAAGUACUUUCAGCGGGGAGGAAGGGGUUAAGGUUAAUAACCUUAGCCAUUGACGUUACCCGCAGAAGAAGCACCGGCUAACUCCGUGCCAGCAGCCGCGGUAAUACGGAGGGUGCAAGCGUUAAUCGGAAUUACUGGGCGUAAAGCGCACGCAGGCGGUCUGUCAAGUCGGAUGUGAAAUCCCCGGGCUCAACCUGGGAACUGCAUUCGAAACUGGCAGGCUUGAGUCUCGUAGAGGGGGGUAGAAUUCCAGGUGUAGCGGUGAAAUGCGUAGAGAUCUGGAGGAAUACCGGUGGCGAAGGCGGCCCCCUGGACGAAGACUGACGCUCAGGUGCGAAAGCGUGGGGAGCAAACAGGAUUAGA
Molecule: ribosomal RNA, 441 nt
Filed under: uncultured Citrobacter sp.
Lineage: Bacteria; Pseudomonadati; Pseudomonadota; Gammaproteobacteria; Enterobacterales; Enterobacteriaceae
Description: bacterial SSU rRNA
Rfam family: Bacterial small subunit ribosomal RNA
Source: RNAcentral